This is a non-coding RNA of Pelobates cultripes (western spadefoot toad), 5236 nucleotides long. NCBI's taxonomy places the organism in Eukaryota, Metazoa, Chordata, Amphibia, Anura, Pelobatidae. The record is from the annotation of a GenBank genome assembly.
AUACAAGGGCCGCAGAUCACAGGGGAAUUUAUCUCAGGAGCUGCAGUGCUCCCUGACCGCCCUUCCUCCCUCCCCUCGCGACCGCGUGUGCGGCCGCGUUUGGCUCCGACCCGCUCAGCCUCCCCCUCGCACCCGCUGGUGCGAGGGUGUUUCCCCGGCCGUGUGUUUUCCACGCGCUCCACCGGCCAUUGGCGGAGGAGGAACUUGAUGCCCGCAACGUGCUCUGCAUACGGCGGCCAUCUUCCCUCUCACUCACACACGUGGCUGCUAGCGGUUCCGGCGGGUCGGCUCCCCUUCCCUUUGUUUUUUACAGGUAUUGUGCUUUUGUGGGUUACUCAACCCCUGUACUGUAGGUUUAGGAUUCCAUCAUUUUUUCCUGCUCUGUAAUAUAUACUGAUACUGGUGUCCCUGGCUGCCAUAGUUCUUGUGGGUGUCUGUUGCGCUGUGUAUAUUUAAAGGGACAUACCCCCCUUUUCCCACAAGUUUAUAUCUACCCUCCUGACUAUCAUGCAGGCUAGGGGUGAUGGUUCUGGCAGUCCCAGUUAUCCCAGUAUGGAAGCUUUUCCGGCCCCUUUCUCAGGUGAGGUGGGUCUCACCCCCUCUCAAGAGUUCCAGGCCCUUACUGACUCUACUAUGCAGAGGGCCCUGGCCUCAGCCAUGGGGACAGUUUCAUCGUCACUGUCUCAUACUAUUCAACAGGCCUUGACUCAGCCCUUGGUUUCUCCAAUGUUGGCAAGCCCCCUGCCUGCGCUGCAACCUCAGGUCAGUCGCAAGGCACAUGCCAAAACUAAACAUGUCUCCCCCGAUGUGACACAGGUAGUACCUGUCCUGACUAACGCGCCUCUGGCCGUCCAAGAUGGCGCGUUACCGCGCAAGAGAGCCGCUGGCCGGGCAAAAUCGGCCAGAAAGUGGAAAAAGGCGCGUGCCCAUGGCAAUGACGGAUCAGACUCCGAUCUAAGUGGGGAGACAGGUUCGGACACCCCCGACUACGCCUCUUAUGAGGAAGGGGACUCCGACGCGGAGGCGGGGUCUGACGCUUCGGCGCUACCUCCGAGUGGGGAACAAGGCAUAUGUGAUCCGCAGGGUUACCCCCUGUUCGAUCCUGAUGACCUUCGUCACCCUCGCUCGGCGGAAUGGGACCCGCCCGAGCAUAUCGCUAGUUAUCUAGCGCCACGUAUGCGUACCCCCUUGUCCAAGGAGGGGCGCAGUAAGUUACGGGCCGAGUGCCCAAGGCCCUCAGUACCUGACGCGGAGUGCAAGACGCCAGAGGUUGACCCUCAGAUUUCCCAGUUCCUGGCAAAAACGGUCUGGAAACCCAGAAAGAAUUUGGACACUUUAGGUCCCGUUGCUAAGCUUUAUGAGCUAUUGGAGACGGCUAAGACAGGGGACACCACCCUUGAUUUCGAUGUAGCAAUAGGAUGGGUCCAGAGACUGACUUGCCUUCUCAGCAAUGCUAACACGGCUAUGUCAGCCGAACGCCGCAAGGCGAUCUUGCUUAAAAUUGAGCCUAAGUUGGUAAACCUCGCAGUGAAGGAACUGGGCGCUGCCGCUAAGGGCAUGCUCUUUGGUGAGUCUUUCGUUAAAGACCUGGGCUCAUUUGUGUGUACCUUCACCGCCCUAGAUAAGGCCCAAUCCAACUUGAAACGCGUUUUUGGCCCAAAGGUUUUCCAUAGGGCCGGGAGGUAUAGGAGCCAGGUCCUCAUGGACUCAUAGAGGUUCCUUUGCUGCCCCUCGGGCCUACCAGGACUACAAGCCCGCUCCCUUCUUUCCCUCCCGGGGGAGGACGUGGCAGAAUCGGGGAGGACGUGGUCAGCCCUCAUACAGACGCCCUUACGGUGAGUACCCAGGAAUGUAUUUCUCUCCGGGCAAGUGUGGGGGGGGCAGUUUGGCUUUGUUUCUCGACAUGUGGGGCAUGAUCACCACAGAUGUGUGGGUUUUAAAUACGAUCAAAGGUUUUCGCCUAGAUCUUUUAUCUCCCCGUGUCCAGGUGGAUACGCCUCAGGAACUGAGAUUGCCGGAAGCGCAGUCCGGGUUGAUUACCAAGGAGAUCUCGGAACUUCUUGCCAAACGGGCAAUACAGGAAGUCCCAUACGAUCAUCCUGGAUUUCUAAGCAACCUGUUCCUCAUCGCCAAGAAAGGCGGAGGAGUUCGGCCGGUUAUCAAUCUCAAACGACUCAACGGAUUCCUUCGUUACCAUCACUUCAAGAUGGAAGGCAUACAUUGCCUCAGAGAUCUGCUUUGGCAAGGGGAUUGGAUGGUCAAACUAGACCUCAAAGACGCAUACUUGACUAUACCAAUGGCAGAGGUACACUGGGACUUAUUGCACUUUACGUGGCAAGGACGUCGAUGGAGGUUUACCUGGCUGCCCGUCGGUCUCUCUUCAGCACCUUGGUGCUUCACAAAGGUGAUGAAACUGGUGGUGGCGUUCCUCAGGUCUCGGGGAGUACGCAUGAUUAUUUACCUGGACAACAUACUGAUUAUGUCCGCAUCCCCCGACCAACUGCUACAGCAUCUGAGCUGGACGGUGGAUCUUCUGGAAAAAUCCAUGGUGACCCUGACGCAGAAAAUAGAAUUUCUGGGUUUCGAAGUCGAUUCAGUCGCCCAGUUCUUGUUCCUUCCAGAGGCCAAGCUAAAGGCUAUGAAGAAGGAAAUAAGACGUACUCUGUGGACCACCUCUCUCUCCGUACGACAACUGGCGAGGGUGAUUGGCCUUUUGGCCUCCUCCAUUCAGGCGAUUUUCCCGGGACCCCUGCAUUAUCGUGCCCUGCAACGUCUGAAGGGAUCCCACUUUCGCUCGGGCAGUUCGUACGAAAGCGAACUACGCCUGGACAGAGACUCCAAGGAGGAACUACUGUGGUGGUUGGACCAUAUGGAGGCAUGGAAUGAUCGAGCAAUCUUCGGUACCGCCCCAGAUAUGGUGAUAGAAUCGGAUGCCAGCCUGCAUGGUUGGGGCGCUCGCUGUGGAAAUGUCUCCACAGGUGGCAGAUGGUCCGAAAUCGAAUCGACACUACACAUAAACUGUCUGGAAUUGCCGGCGAGAUCAUUCGCUAUUCACAGCAUGUCUCCAGCUCUGGGAAACUGCUGCGUCCAUCUGCGCAUGGACAAUGUGUCCGCGGUCAGAUAUAUAAAUCACCUAGGUGGCACAAAAUCAAAACAACUGGCGAAUCCAGCAAAGGACUUCUGGCAGUUUUGCCUCCACUGCGCGGUGUCGGUCAUGGCCGAACACAUCCCGGGCUUGGACAACGAAUGGGCGGAUUGGAAUUUGCGAUACUUGAAAGACUCAGGAGAUUGGCACCUGCUGCCUUCGAUCUUUCGACAGAUAGAUCAACUAUGGGGCUCGUUACAACUGGACUUGUUCACAUCCAGAAUGAACGCUCAACUACCCCAAUACUUCAGUUGGAGACCAGAUCCAUCAGCCACAACGGUGGAUGCGUUCCUGCAGACAUGGCCUCGGGGUCGUCACUUUGCGUUUCCCCCUUUCAACCUGAUCUCUCGGACGCUGGCACACUUGACCAGACAAGAGUGCACGUUGGUGGUGAUAGUUCCCCUAUGGCAGACUCAGCCUUGGUUCCCACGUCUCUUGGAGAUGGCGACGGAUUGCCCACGAAUGAUCAAGAUGCGACCAGAGGUGCUUCUAGAUCCGGAUAGGAACUCACACGAAUUAGUGGACCAGGACCUGCUCCAGCUCACGGCUUGGUUGAUUUCGGGGGACUCUGGUGUGUCACGGACGUUCCGCAUGCUACUACAAGACUCCUGGAGAAUGCCUGGGCACCGGGUACCAGAACAGCUUACAAAUCUGCAUGGCGUGUGUGGUCUGGCUGGUGCGUGGGAAGACUGCUGGAUCCCCUUUCUGCCCCUCUGAAGGAGGUGCUCAGUUUUCUGACUACACUUUUUGAAUCUGGUUUGGCCUAUCGCACUAUUAAUGUUUAUAGAUCGGCCAUCUCAGCCGGACAUCUAGGUAUUGACGGAUCACCGGUUGGACAACAUUCUUUUGUAUGCCGAUUGUUGAAGGGUAUUCGUUACUCUACGCCUCCGAAAUCCAGGUAUUCAUCGUUUUGGGAUGUUAACGUAGUGCUGGGCUUCUUGGAAUCAUGGCCUCUUAAUGAGGAGCUGUCGCUGAAGCAAUUAUCCUUGAAACUGGUUAUGCUCCUGUGUCUCCUUUCAUGCAAAAGGGUUUUGGAUGUCAGGGCUUUGGACUGGAACGCAUUAUUCUUCACCCCGAGGGAGUGUCGUUUAACAUCUCUAGGAGGACUAAGACGUCUUCUAAGUCAGUGACCUAACCUAGGUGUUCAGUCCGACCUGCUCUCUGUCCGGUGGCUUGCCUACGGGUGUACUUGGAUUGCACUCACCAAUUGAGGUAAUUGGAUUUAUCCCAAUUGUUUAUUUCCUUUAAGAAGCCAUUUCUCCCAAUCUCCUCGUCUACGUUAGCUUGUUGGAUUAAGAAUCUUCUUUCCGCUGCAGGGAUCAAUACUUCAAUAUUUUCUGCUCAUUUGGUCAGAGGUGCCAUGGCGUCAAAAGCUUCCACGAUGGGAUGUCGUCUGGAUGAUAUCUUGAAGGCAGUGGAUUGGUCUAGAGAAUCUACGUUCCGCGAUUUUUAUUUCCGCCCGAUUGACCACGUUUCCUCGUUUGUUGUGGCUCAGCUUUAAACUAGCAUAAUAGGAGCCUCCGUGUCAUUAAUAAAAUUCCCAGAUUUUACUAAUAACAUGACGUAAAGUCAUGAUUUUAUUAAUGACACGGAGGCGAGUAUUAUUCCCACCCACCCGUUGGGUAUGGUUUGGAUCUACACUUAUGGUUCAAUUGGGGGGGAUCUUUUACCUUAAGGUAAGUGUUCACGGUUUUUCUCUUGAUUUAUGACGUAUAGUGGGGUCUAUUUACUGUUUGCUUAUGUGUUUUACAAUAGUUGGCAUAUAUAGUCCUACAGGUCAGAUUGUCAUGAUAUGUUACAUUCAGAUCCAGAGUUUGGAUUUUACCUACUAUUUCUCUGUUUUUACAGCUUGAUUUCGUUGUGAUGACGUCUACCUCGUUGGAGAUCGUUCUUUCCCGAUGUGGAUAUUUGGUUUGGGUCUUCGGUUCAGAAGGCAAAGAAGAGGAAGUGGAAGUACUAAGCAGGACAUUUAUGGACUGUUCCUACUAAGCUGAUUGGCUGCCCUGUUACUAGGCAGAUCUGGUUGUACCUGUUAUUAUAUUUCAUAUUUACAUUUUUUCUCUUUCAGUUUUAUAUUUCUCUUUGCUGCUG